RNAcentral lists this ribosomal RNA (34 nucleotides) under Sabal pumos. Its description in RNAcentral is "partial 18S ribosomal RNA gene". The record is from RNAcentral. Lineage: Eukaryota; Viridiplantae; Streptophyta; Magnoliopsida; Arecales; Arecaceae.
GGUUUCCAUAGGUGAACCUGCAGAAGGAUCAUUG